UUGAUGGUAAAGGGCUCAACAAUUGGGAUACUUUCACUCAUAAGUCAGGAGGGAUAUUAGACAAGAGCAAUGGAGAUGUUGCGACUGAUCACUACCACCGAUAUCUGCUUUGAUGUAUUUGACAGGUUCUUAUUGGCAACGAAGUUCUAGAGUCAGAAUGGAGCAUAGAACAAGUCUAAAGAUUGAGCUAUGGACGAGCAUAGAAGACACUCAGAAAUAAAGUUCCUUGAGUGAGGAACUGAAGCUCCAGAGUCGAAGCUUCACUGAGUUCCAAGAAGUCUAUUGUAUCUUUAUUGUUUAUUUUAGGCUUCUUGUAUAUUUGCUAAGUACAUUGUUAAUUGAUAGGAUUUUAAGUGGAUUUAAUUUCAGUUUAUAAAGAUUUUAUUUUCCUAUGUUUAAAAA
Chenopodium quinoa (quinoa) is the source of this 402-nucleotide long non-coding RNA. RefSeq lists it as uncharacterized. The record is from RefSeq and is a predicted model, not a curated record. The transcript is spliced from 3 exons. NCBI's taxonomy places the organism in Eukaryota, Viridiplantae, Streptophyta, Magnoliopsida, Caryophyllales, Amaranthaceae.